AUGAAGGUGUUGUCACCCGUUGGGGUGUUACCCGCCUUCCUCGCAAGACUCACAGAGGUCUGCGUAAGGUGGCUUGUAUUGGUGCCUGGCAUCCUGCUAGGGUUUCCUUCACAGUUGCCAGAGCUGGUCAGAAUGGAUACCAUCAUCGUACUGAAAUGAACAAGAAGGUUUACAAGCUUGGCAAGGGUGGACAGGAGUCUCACACUGGCAUAACUGAAUUUGACAGGUCAGUGUUAAGAACUAAUGGACAUACGGUUUAAUCUGGUUAAUUGGCUUGUCUUUUUACUCCCCCCCCAAAACAAAAAAAAAAAACCUAAAAAAAAAAAAUUAAUGGUUUCUUGUGUGGGUAAUGGUUCAGGACUGAGAAGGACAUUACCCCAAUGGGUGGCUUUCCUCACUAUGGUAUUGUGAAAGAUGAUUAUUUGAUGAUCAAGGGAUGCUGUGUUGGACCUAAGAAGAGGGUGGUCACGCUUCGUCAGUCGCUUCUCAAACAGACAUCUCGUUUAGCUCUUGAGGAAAUCAAAAUCAAGUUCAUUGAUACCUCUUCCAAGUUUGGGCAUGGCCGCUUCCAGACUACACAGGAGAAACAGAAGUACUAUGGACGCAUGAAAGCAUAAUUAUGCUAAAAAGACAAGAGUUUU
This 641-nucleotide long non-coding RNA is filed under the name Citrus sinensis (sweet orange). Its description in RNAcentral is "long non-coding RNA (CSIN_LNC001492)". Lineage: Eukaryota; Viridiplantae; Streptophyta; Magnoliopsida; Sapindales; Rutaceae. The record is from RNAcentral.